RNAcentral lists this ribosomal RNA (490 nucleotides) under uncultured bacterium. RNAcentral's name for it is "partial 16S ribosomal RNA". It matches the Rfam family "Bacterial small subunit ribosomal RNA", at positions 29 to 507 of the family's 1533-position model. The record is from RNAcentral.
AGUGAACGCUGGCGGUAGGCCUAACACAUGCAAGUCGAACGGCAGCACAGGAGAGCUUGCUCUCUGGGUGGCGAGUGGCGGACGGGUGAGGAAUACAUCGGAAUCUGCCCAGUCGUGGGGGAUAACGUAGGGAAACUUACGCUAAUACCGCAUACGACCUUCGGGUGAAAGAGGGGGAUCGCAAGACCUCUCGCGAUUGGAUGAGCCGAUGUCGGAUUAGCUAGUUGGCGGGGUAAUGGCCCACCAAGGCGACGAUCCGUAGCUGGUCUGAGAGGAUGAUCAGCCACCCUGGAACUGAGACACGGUCCAGACUCCUACGGGAGGCAGCAGUGGGGAAUAUUGGCCGAUGGGCGCAAGCCUGAUCCAGCCAUACCGCGUGGGUGAAGAAGGCCUUCGGGUUGUAAAGCCCUUUUGUUGGGAAAGAAAUCUUUCAGGCUAAUACCCUGGGAGGAUGACGGUACCCAAAGAAUAAGCACCGGCUAACUUCGUG